UGAGCCCUUCGGGGUGGAUGAGUGGCGAACGGGUGAGUAACACGUGGGUAAUCUGCCCUGCACUCUGGGAUAAGCCUUGGAAACGGGGUCUAAUACCGGAUAGGACACGUGGCCGCAUGGUCUGCGUGUGGAAAGUUCCGGCGGUGCAGGUUGAGCCCGCGGCCUAUCAGCUUGUUGGUGGGGUGAUGGCCUACCAAGGCGACGACGGGUAGCCGGCCUGAGAGGGUGACCGGCCACACUGGGACUGAGACACGGCCCAGACUCCUACGGGAGGCAGCAGUGGGGAAUCUUGCGCAAUGGGCGAAAGCCUGACGCAGCAACGCCGCGUGGGGGAUGACGGCCUUCGGGUUGUAAACCUCUUUCGACAUCGACGAAGCCUUCGGGUGACGGUAGGUGUAGAAGAAGCACCGGCUAACUACGUGCCAGCAGCCGCGGUAAUACGUAGGGUGCGAGCGUUGUCCGGAAUUAUUGGGCGUAAAGAGCUCGUAGGCGGUUUGUCGCGUCGGCCGUGAAAACCUGCCGCUUAACGGUGGGCGUGCGGUCGAUACGGGCAGACUUGAGUUCGGUAGGGGAGACUGGAAUUCCUGGUGUAGCGGUGAAAUGCGCAGAUAUCAGGAGGAACACCGGUGGCGAAGGCGGGUCUCUGGGCCGAUACUGACGCUGAGGAGCGAAAGCGUGGGGAGCGAACAGGAUUAGAUACCCUGGUAGUC
Molecule: ribosomal RNA, 710 nt
Filed under: Saccharopolyspora sp. KLBMP 4322
Lineage: Bacteria; Bacillati; Actinomycetota; Actinomycetes; Pseudonocardiales; Pseudonocardiaceae
Description: bacterial SSU rRNA
Rfam family: Bacterial small subunit ribosomal RNA
Source: RNAcentral